RNAcentral lists this antisense RNA (69 nucleotides) under Actinokineospora cianjurensis. RNAcentral describes it as "ASpks TB sRNA". It matches the Rfam family "ASpks TB sRNA". The record is from RNAcentral. Lineage: Bacteria; Bacillati; Actinomycetota; Actinomycetes; Pseudonocardiales; Pseudonocardiaceae.
CUUCAGCGACCCCAGCCACAGCGGCUCCACCCGGCCCUGCCCGUAGGUCGCGAGCAGUGCCUGCGCCUC